UACGGAGGGGGCUAGCGUUAUUCGGAAUUACUGGGCGUAAGGCGCACGUAGGCGGAUUGGGAAGUUGGAGGUGAAAUCCCAGGGCUCAACCUUGGAACUGCCUUCAAAACUCCCAGUCUUGAGGUCGAGAGAGGUAAGUGGAAUUCCGAGUGUAGAGGUGAAAUUCGUAGAUAUUCGGAAGAACACCAGUGGCGAAGGCGACAUACUGGCUCAUUACUGACGCUGAGGCUCGAAAGCGUGGGGAGCAAACAGU
This 253-nucleotide ribosomal RNA is filed under the name uncultured bacterium. RNAcentral describes it as "partial 16S ribosomal RNA". It matches the Rfam family "Bacterial small subunit ribosomal RNA", at positions 524 to 776 of the family's 1533-position model. The record is from RNAcentral.